UUGUUCUGAAGUACGUAAAGGCAACACAAAUGAACUGUUUCGGUUUUCUAUGAAGAAGUUCCACCCUCCGAGGCCCGGCUGUCUAGCGGUCGCCAGGCCGUGCUGAGGGAAGGGUGAAGUUACCACUGCUCUUCACUAGAGGUUGCACAUGGCCAUUGCUGACGCCGAGAAACGCCUCAGACCUUCAGGAGCCACGCAGAGCCCCUACCUAAACUGCAACUCCUGCUGCCUAACCAAGUACCCGUGCCGCUCCUCGUCGCAGCCGCCACACCAAGUCUCACCUUGCUCUGCGUGCGCUGAAAGCAAUGGCAAGUGACAAAUUGGCAACGUUUCAGCUUUUCUCCUGCCUAUCGGUCUCCUCGGUGACGGCCUUCCUCCCGGCGCCCUCCGCAAUUGGUGUAUUCGACAAGAUAUACGAGGUUCCCGACCUGGCGGACAGAAACUGUAGGCACGGGCAAGGCUGCCUGUGCCUCCUCGGACGGUCGUUUCUAGGCUCCAAGUCUCGCAACCUUCCGUGUUUUUAAGAGUAUAGGAAAUUAGGGAAUAUAUUUAGUUGCUGUUCGACAAGUGUUGCCGCGUGGUAUCGAUCGUGUGCGUGUGUGUGUGUGUAUGUGUUUGUUUACGCAACUUGUCUAAUAACGUUCAAUAUUAAUGUACUGUGUAAUAACCAUUCGCCGAGUGGGAUAAGACACCAGGCCUUAGAGUAUAUAGUAUUAU
This is a long non-coding RNA of Scylla paramamosain (green mud crab), 717 nucleotides long. RefSeq lists it as uncharacterized. The transcript has 3 exons. Lineage: Eukaryota; Metazoa; Arthropoda; Malacostraca; Decapoda; Portunidae. The record is from RefSeq and is a predicted model, not a curated record.